This is a long non-coding RNA of Lates calcarifer (barramundi perch), 345 nucleotides long. RefSeq lists it as uncharacterized. Lineage: Eukaryota; Metazoa; Chordata; Actinopteri; Centropomidae. The transcript is spliced from 4 exons. The record is from RefSeq and is a predicted model, not a curated record.
CAGAGAUGUUCCUACGAAGCGAUGGAUUUAUUUUAAGUCACAUGGUUUGUAGAGAGGGAGGAACCUCGAUAUAAAACCAGUCUGAUUUCACUGUUCUCCACUUUGCUGCAGAACUACAACAGGAGGAGGAAGAUGGCAGAGCGACGCAGACGCAGGAAAUCCUGGUGGUGGCCAUUCAUUGAGUCUGAACCUGAACCUGAACCUACGCCUUCUCCCACUUUUAAGGAACCCUGGAGGAAAAUAUCUUGGGGGUGAGUUUACUGACCCAUGCUCAGUGCUCAGUGUUUCCCCUGUUGGCCCAUAUUGUGAUGACGUCUGUAAAACUGUUGAAACUCUCUUCUCCAA